UAUAUUGGUAAUAAAACAUUUAUUGGGAAGC
Molecule: non-coding RNA, 31 nt
Filed under: Mus musculus (house mouse)
Lineage: Eukaryota; Metazoa; Chordata; Mammalia; Rodentia; Muridae
Source: RNAcentral